Molecule: ribosomal RNA, 454 nt
Filed under: uncultured Oomycota
Lineage: Eukaryota; Oomycota
Description: LSU rRNA
Rfam family: Eukaryotic large subunit ribosomal RNA
Source: RNAcentral
GUGCGAGACCGAUAGCGAACAAGUACCGUGAGGGAAAGAUGAAAAGAACUUUGAAAAGAGAGUUAAAGAGUACCUGAAACUGCUGAAAGGGAACCGAAUCGUUUCCAGUGUCUAUAAUCCAUGGUAUAUUUCAUUGGUGUGUAAGUGCGUGCAGCGUUUUGGAAGUAGUUUUCUGCUCCUGUCGUUGUUGUGCAUUUGCCUGCUGGUGCCCUGUGCUGUGGUGGGACGUCAGAGUCAGUUCGUGUGUUGCGGGAAAUGGUUAUUGGGGAGGUUGGUCACUUCGGUGGCUGUUAUAUCCUGAUAACUAGUCGUCGUGGCUGGGACUGAGGUGCCUACAACGUGCUUUUGAGUCUGCGGGCUUCUCGUGUUGCUGUUUGCUUGGAUAGCUUGCUAUGUUUGUAAAUAAGUCGUGCGAUUGAGACCUGUAGUAACUUGUUGCUGUUCGGGACUUUGA